Molecule: ribosomal RNA, 446 nt
Filed under: Streptomyces sp. 6LB1
Lineage: Bacteria; Bacillati; Actinomycetota; Actinomycetes; Kitasatosporales; Streptomycetaceae
Description: partial 16S ribosomal RNA
Source: RNAcentral
GUCACUUUCGCUUCUUCCCUGCUGAAGAGGUUUACAACCCGAAGGCCGUCAUCCCUCACGCGGCGUCGCUGCAUCAGGCUUUCGCCCAUUGUGCAAUAUUCCCCACUGCUGCCUCCCGUAGGAGUCUGGGCCGUGUCUCAGUCCCAGUGUGGCCGGUCGCCCUCUCAGGCCGGCUACCCGUCGUCGCCUUGGUAGGCCAUUACCCCACCAACAAGCUGAUAGGCCGCGGGCUCAUCCUUCACCGCCGGAGCUUUUAACCCCGUCCCAUGCGGGACAGAGUGUUAUCCGGUAUUAGACCCCGUUUCCAGGGCUUGUCCCAGAGUGAAGGGCAGAUUGCCCACGUGUUACUCACCCGUUCGCCACUAAUCCACCCCGAAAGGCUUCAUCGUUCGACUUGCAUGUGUUAAGCACGCCGCCAGCGUUCGUCCUGAGCCAGGAUCAAACUC